This is a non-coding RNA of Pelobates cultripes (western spadefoot toad), 220 nucleotides long. The record is from the annotation of a GenBank genome assembly. Lineage: Eukaryota; Metazoa; Chordata; Amphibia; Anura; Pelobatidae.
UGCGCUUGUUCCGUGCUUUCUAAGGACUUUCCCCUAGCACUCACAUGUUCACUUGUCUCCUUAACUUCGUAAGAAGCUCCUGGUAUACAGUAUGUGACAGAGAAAAGGUGGAUGUAGUGAGUGUAGAAGAAACAGAACAUGCCACAGUGUUAGAGAGACCAAAGUCAGCAUUAUGUUAACUAAUUUUAUUUCAGCUAGCCCACACAAGGUUUGUUUCCAU